CAGCAGAUGUCUAAUUUCUGCCAAACUUCAGAAAAGGUUCUGAAGACUUUUCAACACAGGUAUUUGCAUAGGAGAAAAUCUGUGGAGCAUUUUGGGGGGGGGGGGAAGCAAAGAGGUUUUUUAAAAAAAUAUCAUCACCCAUCUACACACCCCAAAAAUAAAAGAGAAAAAGACAGGGCUGAGAGCUCCUUAGAGCUCUUUUUAUUAUAAAAACUUCAUGAUUCUAUAACAUGGCAAAAUAAAGUUCAAUUUUCUUCUAAAUAUGAAACACAUUGUAAUGAACAAUAUGGUAACUAGUUCUCUAAUCAAACUGAUAAAAUGGUUGCCCUCCUUUCAAGUAGAUAUAAUUCCUUAUAUCUCACUAAUCAACAUGAACAUCUUUGAGCUUCAAGUAUAAAAUUAAGAUUAUGUGAAACAAAAUAAGAAAAAAGUGAUAGGGGUGUGUGGGUUCUAUACCACGGUGAAGGAAUUAGGAAUACAACUGGGAAAAGAAAUUAGACCUUGUGCAAAAUUCCUUAGGCUGUCAUCCUUAGGCUGUCAUUCCUUAGGCUGUCAUAGGUUAAUGUGGGUCAAAAAAAUAAAAUUUGAAACCGUCAUGCUUCAUUAGGGGGGCCUCUGUGGGGUUAAGUAUUUGUGAGUGUCCAAAAUUUGAGACUCUCCAAACAUACAAGCCUGUGAUGUCAUUUAACAUGAAAAAAACUACAGCCCCCCUAAACUAUAUAUAUCUUACUUACUUGCAAAAGACCAUAGAAGUCAGUGUGAUCCCCAAAUCUUCAUUCUGUCCAAGCAAUUGGUAAGUACAUACCAUUUUAUUUUUUUCUUUCCUCUAUUCAAAGCAGAAUUGUGUAGAACUUCUCAGUACAAACUUUUGUAAUGUAUGUCCCACUUUUCCCCCCUAUUCACAGACUACAAAAUAUGGACCCUAAUCUGAAUAAUGAAUCAGAUUACAAUAAUUCUCAAUUAGAAGAACUGAAGGCUUUUUGCCAAGGCUAUGAGGAUGCCACAACCAACUGUUCUACACAGCCUCCAAGGACUGGUGAUGAGGACUUCAUUCCAUUAAUCACAAACAAUGAUCAAAUUUUCAAUCCUGAUUUGGUCAUUGUUAAAGCGGAAACACACACACCCUCACCACACCCUAGAAAGGCUACUGAGAGAAAAAAACCGUCAUCUUCUACUACUACUGCUGCUGCUGCUGCUACAGAGAUAGUUACGCCUCUGAUGAUGAUGACAUCUCACCACCUCCAAAAUGAUUCAAGAGGGCAAAACCAGAGAUCCAACCACCUAUUCCACCCGUGAUCAUAAAACUUGGAAAGACAACACAAGAUAUGCAACCCUUUGGUACUAAUUUAGUGAGGACUGUAGGCAGCACCCAAGCAGCUCCAAAACAAGCCAGUAAAGGUCAAUCCUCACGGAUGAAAUCACUCCAAAGGCAUAACACUGAUGAUGAUGAUGGAACAACAACACCUCAAAGCUCAAUGCUUCUGAAUGUGUUGCAAGUCUGCGCAGCUAUGCAGAGCGGGUCGCGAAGAUUGCAGAUUGCUAUGAGAUGAUAGAUAAUAAGCUCAAAUCUGUUGCUAAAUGUAAAGUGGCCUUGGACAAAUAUUGUAAUGGCUUAGUGGGUGGGCUAUCUGGAUUGGGUGAACUGCAGGACAAUAUUAAAAAAGAGUGCAAGUAUUCAUGAUGUGUUAAUGUUAUACAAACGGGUAGAGGUGGGGGCAGGAAACCAAUACCCCCCAGGUUAAGAAGCCGAUAUCUAUAUAGACGCAUUAAAAUGAUUAAAAAGUGGCAAAAGGCCAUGUCUAAACACUCAAAUAAAAGGGCAAAUGUUUCACAACACCCUCUUGCACAAGCAGAGACCUUAGACGCUCCUGCUGAUGCUGGUCUCCAACAACACCCUCCUGUACAAGCAGAAGCUCCUGCUGAUGCUGGUCUCCAACAACACCCUCCAGUACAAGCAGAAGCAGUAGAAGCUCCUGCUGAUGCUGGUCUCCAACAACACCCCCCUGUAUCACCCCCGGCCG
Hemicordylus capensis (graceful crag lizard) is the source of this 2021-nucleotide long non-coding RNA. RefSeq lists it as uncharacterized. The transcript is spliced from 6 exons. Lineage: Eukaryota; Metazoa; Chordata; Lepidosauria; Squamata; Cordylidae. The record is from RefSeq and is a predicted model, not a curated record.